GAUGAACGCUGGCGGCGUGCCUAAUACAUGCAAGUCGAGCGAACAGACGAGGAGCUUGCUCCUCUGACGUUAGCGGCGGACGGGUGAGUAACACGUGGAUAACCUACCUAUAAGACUGGGAUAACUUCGGGAAACCGGAGCUAAUACCGGAUAAUAUAUUGAACCGCAUGGUUCAAUAGUGUAAGACGGUUUUGCUGUCACUUAUAGAUGGAUCCGCGCCGCAUUAGCUAGUUGGUAAGGUAACGGCUUACCAAGGCAACGAUGCGUAGCCGACCUGAGAGGGUGAUCGGCCACACUGGAAGUGAGACACGGUCCAGACUCCUACGGGAGGCAGCAGUAGGGAAUCUUCCGCAAUGGGCGAAAGCUUGACGGAGCAACGCCGCGUGAGUGAUGAAGGUCUUCGGAUCGUAAAACUCUGUUAUUAGGGAAGAACAAAUGUGUAAGUAACUAUGCACGUCUUGACGGUACCUAAUCAGAAAGCCACGGCUAACUACGUG
Molecule: ribosomal RNA, 497 nt
Filed under: uncultured bacterium
Lineage: Bacteria
Description: partial 16S ribosomal RNA
Rfam family: Bacterial small subunit ribosomal RNA
Source: RNAcentral